RNAcentral lists this ribosomal RNA (390 nucleotides) under uncultured bacterium. Its description in RNAcentral is "bacterial SSU rRNA". It matches the Rfam family "Bacterial small subunit ribosomal RNA", at positions 28 to 416 of the family's 1533-position model. The record is from RNAcentral.
GACGAACGCUGGCGGCGUGCUUAACACAUGCAAGUCGAGCGAGGCUCCUUCUUUCGGGAGGGAUGCCCUAGCGGCGAACGGGUGAGUAACACGUGGGCAGCCUGCCUCUAGCACUGGGAUAAACUCCGGGAAACCGGGGCUAAUACCGGAUACGACCUCUGAGGGCAUCCUCCGGAGGUGGAAAGCAUUGUGGCCAGAGAUGGGCCCGCGGCCUAUCAGCUUGUUGGUGAGGAACGGCCCACCAAGGCGACGACGGGUAGCCGGCCUGAGAGGGCGACCGGCCACACUGGGACUGAGACACGGCCCAGACUCCUACGGGAGGCAGCAGUGGGGAAUCUUGCGCAAUGGGCGAAAGCCUGACGCAGCGACGCCGCGUGAGGGAUGACGGCC